Molecule: non-coding RNA, 555 nt
Organism: Taeniopygia guttata (zebra finch)
Lineage: Eukaryota; Metazoa; Chordata; Aves; Passeriformes; Estrildidae
Source: RefSeq, a predicted model, not a curated record
UUUGGGGUUUGGGGAUUUUUGUGGUUUUUGGGGUUUGGCAUUUUGGCAUUUGAGGUUUGAGAUUUGGGAUUUGUGGUUUUGGGAUUCUUUGGGAUCUCUGGAAUCCUUUGGGACCUUCUGGAAUUUUUUGGGACCCUCUGGAAUAUUUUGGAAAAUUUUGGAAUUUUUUGGUCCCCUCCGGGCUCGUCCCUCGCUCCCCCCCCGGGGCCCCCCCGUCACUCAUUAAUUAAUUAAUUAAUUACUUUAUUAACUUCUCCCCGCCCCGUUCAUGACCUCAUUAAUUCCCCGUUGCGCUUUUACGGCGGCACUGCCCGUUCGAUGCAAAUUUAUGGAGAUUUAUGCAAAUGAGGCGGUUUAGAGGCGCGGCCGCCGCGGCCCCGCUCAGAGCCGCUCCCGCGGCCGCGGUUUUGGGGCGAAAUCCCGGGAAAAAGGAGCGGGAGAGGCCCCGGAGCGCCGCGGAAAGGAACAAAACUCGCGGCGACGUUUCCCCUGAGCUCAUCCCAAACCUCCGCUCCUGGCUCGGCUGGAUGGAAAAAAUUCCUCCAGCUCCGUUUU